GCGAGGAUGGCGGAAUUGGUAGACGCGCUGGUUUUAGGUACCAGUACCAAUGGUGUGGGGGUUCGAGUCCCCCUCCUCGUACCA
RNAcentral lists this transfer RNA (84 nucleotides) under Zetaproteobacteria bacterium CG_4_10_14_3_um_filter_54_28. RNAcentral describes it as "tRNA-Leu". It matches the Rfam family "tRNA". Rfam says of the family: Transfer RNA (tRNA) molecules are approximately 80 nucleotides in length. Their secondary structure includes four short double-helical elements and three loops (D, anti-codon, and T loops). RNAcentral also lists the same sequence under 2 other names. The record is from RNAcentral. Lineage: Bacteria; Pseudomonadati; Pseudomonadota; Candidatius Mariprofundia.